GACGGCGACGCCGGGGACGAUGGGCACUCGGUGCCCGAGGGGGACAUGUACCGCUACAGCGAGGACGAGGACUCGGAGGGCGAGGACAAGAGCGACGGCGAGCUGGUGGUGCUGACGGACUGAGGGGACACAGGGGGACAGUGGCAGGGCUGGCUGACACCUCUGGGUGUGUCCUGGUGUGGUGCCACGUGCCCACACGGAGCUGCCCACCUGGGAUUUUGGGUGGCAAGGACUGGCUUGGCCUUGCUUUGGUGGCACGUGGAGCCGAGGCCAGCGAGCCUGGAGAUCUGGUGACACUGUGGCUGCUGCGCUGUCACCCCUGAGGGGACCUGAGGCUCUCGGGCUGUAGGGAACCCCCAGAGCAUCUCCAGCCCUGCAGCACCUGUGGGUCAUGGAGAGCCUCACCUGCUGCACUGCUGGGCACGGGAUGGGGACACAGAAUGGGGACAGAGAAUGGGGACACAAGACAGGGACACAGGACAGGGACAUGGGAUGGUGAUACAAGACAGGGACACAGGACAGGGACACAGGACGGGGACACAGGACAGGCACACGGGAUGGAGACACAGGACAGGGACAUGGGAUGGGGACACAGGACAGGGACACGCUGGUCCCUCCUCUAUCCUGGUGUGACCUCCCCUCCGCGUUUCCCGCUCGCUCUUUGGCUCCUGCCAGCGAAUUCCCACCGAGCCAAUUUUAGCUCCAGCCUGGCCCCAGCUCCAGCCAAAGGCUCCUCAGGGCUCUUUGUGCUGCCGGCAGCUCUGGCCCAGUUUGGGAAUAAAGCAGGGGCUGUUCCUGCCCUGCCAGCCCUCCCUCGGGGGGGACGUGCCCGCCUGUGCUCGGGCACCUGGCACUGCAGCCUGGGCUGCACCUGAGCCCUGAGGGGUGAGAGGGAGGGACAAGGAACGGCUGUGAGCGGAAAGGAGUGAUGAGAAAAAAUGAGCUUGGUGUGGUCAGAGCCUGCUCCGGGGGCUGGGGUGUGGCUGGGCAGGGGGGUGUCCAGGUGAGAGUUGGAGGUGUCCAGGUCCAGGUGAGUGGCAGUGCCCNUGGGCAGGGUGGGGUCAGUGGGGUGGGGUGACCAAUGGCAUUGAUGGGUGCCCAUGGGGUGGGUUGAGUGGUCAGUGAGGUGACCACUGGCACUAACAGGUGCCUAUGGGGGUCAGUGGGGUGACCACUGGCACUGAUGGGUGCCCAUAGGGGUGGGUUGAGUGGUCAGUGGGGUGACCAAUGGCACUGACAGGGGGUGGGUUGAGUGGUCAGCAGAUUGACCACUGGCACUGAUAGGUGGCCAUGGGGGUGGGUGCUGUGAGUGGUCAGUGGAGUGACCAUUGGCACUGACGGGUGACCAUAGGAGUGGACACUGAGUGGUCAGUGAGGUGACCACUGGCACUAACAGGUGCCUAUGGGGGUCAGUGGGGUGACCAUUGGCACUGACGGGUGACCAUAGGAGUGGACACUGAGUGGUCAGUGAGGUGACCACUGGCACUGAUGGGUGCCCUUAGGGGUGCGUGCUAUGAGUGACCAGUGAGGUGACCAAUGGUACUGACAGGUGCACUUAGGGAUGGGUGCUAUGAGUGGUCAGCGGAGUGACCAAUGGCAUGGAUGGGUGCCCAUAGGGGUGGGUUGAGUGGUCAGCAGAGUGGUCACAGGUUCCUGUAGGGGUCAGUGCUGUGAGUGGUCAGUGGAAUGACCAAUGGCACUGAUGGGUACCAAUGGGUGGGGGUGAUGUGUGAGUGGUCAGCAGUGGUCAGUGGAGUGACCACUGGCACUGACAGGUGCCCAUGGGGAUGGGUGCUAUGAGCGACCAGUGAGGUGACCACUGGCACUGAUGGGUGCCCAUAGGGGUGCAUGCUGUGAGUGGUCCGUGAGGUGACC
Long non-coding RNA from Zonotrichia albicollis (white-throated sparrow), 1875 nucleotides. Lineage: Eukaryota; Metazoa; Chordata; Aves; Passeriformes; Passerellidae. The record is from Ensembl.